CCUGCCUGUGGAUAGGAGCUACCCACCACGAGUUUCCUCUUUGCUGAGAGCUGAACACUCGUUGGGAUGACCUGCCUGCAGAAAGG
Molecule: microRNA precursor, 86 nt
Filed under: Chlorocebus sabaeus (green monkey)
Lineage: Eukaryota; Metazoa; Chordata; Mammalia; Primates; Cercopithecidae
Description: miRNA (ENSCSAG00000022388.1)
Source: RNAcentral